This 443-nucleotide unclassified non-coding RNA is filed under the name Hevea brasiliensis (rubber tree). Lineage: Eukaryota; Viridiplantae; Streptophyta; Magnoliopsida; Malpighiales; Euphorbiaceae. The record is from RNAcentral.
AAAUAACGCACAAUAUGCAAAACAGUGCUUUAAAUGUGACGAGAGAUGAUCAUAACUUAGCUUAAGGUUUGGUAUAAUAUCAUCCUCAUCUUGAGUUAUUUUUGAGAGUUCAUUUUCUAAGAAGGGAAACCACUCAGUUUCUAGAUUUUUAGAGUACAAAAGACUUGCAAUAGUUUUUAUUGCAAGAGAACUCCAACACAUUUCUUCAAAAUAUCCUCUCUAAUCUUUCCUAUAUUUGAAUUUUUUGGUUCUGGGUCCUUAAACGCUUUACGCAUGAACAAGGACCAAGACUCAAUUGGAGAUAAGCCUUCCAAAACAUGUGGUGCCAAGGUGCUAGCUAUACCUACCACUCUUUUAAAGCAAGUGGUUAUUAAUACCUUACUACCACUAGAGACACCCAUUAAUAAUUUCUUUAAUUUAUCCCAUUUUUCUUGAUUCUCAUU